CCUACGGGAGGCAGCAGUGGGGAAUAUUGGGCAAUGGACGCAAGUCUGACCCAGCAACGCCGCGUGAAGGACGAAGGUGCCAAGCAUUGUAAACUUCUUUUGUCAAGGGACAAAAUCAGGCUCGAGAGCCUGACCGAGGGUACUUGAAGAAAAAGCAUCGGCUAACUCCGUGCCAGCAGCCGCGGUAAUACGGAGGAUGCGAGCGUUAUCCGGAUUUAUUGGGUUUAAAGGGUGCGUAGGCGGUAUGUCAAGUCAAGGGUGAAAUCCCCGCGCUCAACGUGGGAACUGCCUUUGAAACUGGCAAACUGGAGUGUGUGAGAGGAUAGUGGAAUUCCAGGUGUAGGAGUGAAAUCCGUAGAUAUCUGGAGGAACAUCAGUGGCGAAGGCGACUAUCUGGCACAUAACUGACGCUGAGGAGCGAAAGCGUGGGUAGCAAACAGGAUUAGAUACCCUUGUAGUC
This 460-nucleotide ribosomal RNA is filed under the name uncultured bacterium. RNAcentral's name for it is "partial 16S ribosomal RNA". It matches the Rfam family "Bacterial small subunit ribosomal RNA", at positions 338 to 795 of the family's 1533-position model. The record is from RNAcentral.